UUGGGUUUGCUAACUUCACUUCAAUAUAUGUUUGCAUGUUUGCCAGAGCGGCCACUUGCAAAAAUGAUCAAAAAAUUGCUGAACAGACUGGAACUGGUCCAAUCAGUUUUCUCUCACUUAGUAGGUCAGUUCGUUCAAUUUUAUACAAACGAAGUCGGUGUAAGGGAACUUAGAACUGUAAUAUUUUAUUUAAUACAAAGGUUAUAAGCCGACGCAAGAUUCCAAAGCUUUAUGAAGUUGGACUAAGGAGCAUUCAGCAUGCCUAAUCCCUUUCUCAAGAAUAAGUGGAGCCUUCUUCUUUAUCCAGAGCAGGCCCCUUCUACACAAAACAACUUCCCCACAUUUUCUCAGUGGUUUUACACCACAACAAGGCUAAGUCACAUAACUCAGAGACAAAACAAGUUUUACACCACAACAGGGCUGAGUCAAGCAACUUAGAGAUAGAAAAAGGGAUGGUGCAAUCUACAAAGGGAGGAUGGAGGGGACAAGGUGGAUGUUCUAGACCAAUAUCAGCUUUAUACAUAGAGGCCCAGAUGCACUGCCUUAGACAAGAAACCUACGAGACAAGGUGGAGGCCCUUUUAAAUGAUUCAACUCAAGCAGUAUCAGAUUUGGGCCUACAAGUGUCCAUAAAUGUAGAGUAUGAUAGAGAUCAGGAAAAUAUUAUUAUGGGUAUGGCAAUUAAUGGCAAUUUUGUUCUAUGGAU
Molecule: long non-coding RNA, 705 nt
Organism: Carya illinoinensis
Lineage: Eukaryota; Viridiplantae; Streptophyta; Magnoliopsida; Fagales; Juglandaceae
Exons: 3
Source: RefSeq, a predicted model, not a curated record